Molecule: ribosomal RNA, 401 nt
Filed under: uncultured bacterium
Lineage: Bacteria
Description: bacterial SSU rRNA
Rfam family: Bacterial small subunit ribosomal RNA
Source: RNAcentral
CAAGGCUUGACAUAUACGAGAACGGGCCAGAAAUGGUCAACUCUUUGGACACUCGUAAACAGGUGGUGCAUGGUUGUCGUCAGCUCGUGUCGUGAGAUGUUGGGUUAAGUCCCGCAACGAGCGCAACCCUCGUUCUAUGUUGCCAGCACGUAACGGUGGGAACUCAUGGGAUACUGCCGGGGUCAACUCGGAGGAAGGUGGGGAUGACGUCAAAUCAUCAUGCCCCUUAUGUCUUGGGCUUCACGCAUGCUACAAUGGCCGGUACAAUGGGCUGCAAUACCGUGAGGUGGAGCGAAUCCCAAAAAGCCGGUCCCAGUUCGGAUUGAGGUCUGUAACUCGACCUCAUGAAGUCGGAGUCGCUAGUAAUCGCAGAUCAGCAACGCUGCGGUGAAUACGUUCCC